Molecule: small nuclear RNA, 22 nt
Filed under: Arabidopsis thaliana (thale cress)
Lineage: Eukaryota; Viridiplantae; Streptophyta; Magnoliopsida; Brassicales; Brassicaceae
Description: snRNA_16211
Source: RNAcentral
GGAGCUCGGACGCGAGUUCUAU